UACGUAGGGUGCGAGCGUUAAUCGGAAUUACUGGGCGUAAAGCGUGCGCAGGCGGUUUGACAAGUCAGAUGUGAAAGCCCCGGGCUUAACCUGGGAAUGGCGUUUGAAACUGUCAGACUAGAGUGUGUCAGAGGGAGGUAGAAUUCCACGUGUAGCAGUGAAAUGCGUAGAGAUGUGGAGGAAUACCGAUGGCGAAGGCAGCCUCCUGGGAUAACACUGACGCUCAGGCACGAAAGCGUGGGGAGCAAACAGG
Molecule: ribosomal RNA, 253 nt
Filed under: uncultured bacterium
Lineage: Bacteria
Description: partial 16S ribosomal RNA
Rfam family: Bacterial small subunit ribosomal RNA
Source: RNAcentral